AACAAGGCGUACCUGCGGACCUGCGGAAGGAUCAUUACCGAGUUUACAACUCCCAAACCCCUGUGAACAUACCAAUUGUUGCCUCGGCGGAUCAGCCCGCUCCCGGUAAAACGGGACGGCCCGCCAGAGGACCCCUAAACUCUGUUUCUAUAUGUAACUUCUGAGUAAAACCAUAAAUAAAUCAAAACUUUUAGCAACGGAUCU
RNAcentral lists this unclassified non-coding RNA (204 nucleotides) under soil metagenome. RNAcentral describes it as "partial contains 5.8S ribosomal RNA, internal transcribed spacer 2, and large subunit ribosomal RNA". The record is from RNAcentral.